Molecule: long non-coding RNA, 1555 nt
Organism: Ictalurus punctatus (channel catfish)
Lineage: Eukaryota; Metazoa; Chordata; Actinopteri; Siluriformes; Ictaluridae
Source: Ensembl
AGGUUUUUAAAAAUGUGCCCCUCUUAGAGCAGGUUUUGAUUGGCUGGCACAGCGCCAAGGCAUUGUCACUCACAGAGUGUAAACAAGGCUCUGAUUGGCUGCUGUCCAGUCCGCAUUGGGCUGUCUGAAAGAAGAAGAAGGGGGGAAAAGCAAUAACUGGCUCUGCGGUUUCAAGGCGUCCCGGGGUCCGAUGAUGAAAGAUAAGCGGGAGACCGUUUCGAGGCGCUCCGAAAGGCGGACCCUUAUGGCCCAGAAGUCAUUUGUGUCAGGCGUGAAGUGAAGGCGCCUCGGCAAACGGGGAGAAAUAGUCCUAUUUAUAUUGUUUAAAAAGAAAAAGAAAAAAAAGAAAGAAAGAAAGAAACGGCACAUGAAAGGCUUUAAGAAUGCCUUUGACAAGAGAAGAACGUAUUGAAAUCAUUCUCAUGCCGGGAUCAGGAAGCUGUCAUAAGGUUGCGAUGGACAUGCAAGUACAUGCAUAGCACCAGAUGUGUUAACACGAGUUCAUCAUGAGUGGGAAAGACAACUCCAUGUGUGGUUUUUGUGUGUUUUACAAAAAUGUAAAUAAAUAAAGUUACACUUUGCUAAAAAGUGUUAAUUUCCCCUGUGUGUGGAGACUUUUGGGACACCCUGUAGAUUUAUUUGAUGAACAUAAUCCAGCUAAUAAAUAUUAAACUCAUUAUUCCAGUGUGUGCUGUAAUAUUCUGGAUGUAUUAGAGCCAGAGUGUUUAUUGUUCCUGAACUUUACACCAACAGAACACAUUAGGUUCAAGUUGACAUUAUUUAGAAGGCCGACACGAUUUUGAGUUAUUGAGAUUUGGUUCAAUGGGUCAACCAGUUAUUAAAGGGGGCAGUCAAACAGGAUAUAAGAUAAUAAUAAUAAGAUAACAAAUAUAAAUGUGAUGAUUUUGGCUUGUGAUUUCUGUUACACUGGGGUUGGGGGGGCGGGGGACUCCACUUUGAGGAUGACUGCUUUAAGAAGGUAAACUCUUUAAAUUCACUCAGACACACUUUAUACUUAUGAUAAUUGAUAUUGCAUGAUUAUUCUGGAUGUUAUGGCAAAUAGGCCAGUGCAGCCUACCUGUGAGGUUAUGCAGAGCUCAGCAGCCAAGCAUAUCUAGGUUAUUUAAUAAACCAGUAGGAUAUUUCUACGUUAUUCUGAUAUUACUGCACAGAAAAUGUUGGGUUUUUUGUUGUUGUUGUUGUUGUUAUGAACACCAGGUGAUGACUAUUUAGGCUUAUAUAAUUAUGGUUAUAUAAUUAUGUUGUCAGUCCCUCCAGGAUGUUGUGAUCACAGAAAUUAACGCAAAAUCAAGGAAAGUCUGAAAUAUUUGGAGGAACCUGCAAUUUUUGAAAAUUACCACAGAUUUUCCGCAGAUUCGAGCCAAUAAGUGUCAUGUGACAUCACGUGUCACGUGAUGUCAGCCUAAGCCCUCUUUGAUUCAUGUGCAUCGAACAUGACUAUAGCUAAAAUGCAUCACAAAUUUUGAAAAAAGCCACAGCAAAAUCAAGCAUUUUUGGCCGCAACAAUCCCCCCCCAAAAAACCUCUUCAAAAUG